GACGAACGCUGGCGGCGUGCUUAACACAUGCAAGUCGAACGGAAAGGCCCUGCUUUUGUGGGGUGCUCGAGUGGCGAACGGGUGAGUAACACGUGAGUAACCUGCCCUUGACUUCGGGAUAACUUCAGGAAACUGGGGCUAAUACCGGAUAGGAGCUCCUGCUGCAUGGUGGGGGUUGGAAAGUUUCGGCGGUUGGGGAUGGACUCGCGGCUUAUCAGCUUGUUGGUGGGGUAGUGGCUUACCAAGGCUUUGACGGGUAGCCGGCCUGAGAGGGUGACCGGCCACAUUGGGACUGAGAUACGGCCCAGACUCCUACGGGAGGCAGCAGUGGGGAAUAUUGCACAAUGGGCGGAAGCCUGAUGCAACAACGCCGCGUGCGGGAUGACGGCCUUCGGGUUGUAAACCGCUUUCGCCUGUGACGAAGCGUGAGUGACGGUAAUGGGUAAAGAAGCACCGGCUAACUACG
RNAcentral lists this ribosomal RNA (466 nucleotides) under uncultured bacterium. Its description in RNAcentral is "partial 16S ribosomal RNA". It matches the Rfam family "Bacterial small subunit ribosomal RNA", at positions 28 to 505 of the family's 1533-position model. The record is from RNAcentral.